Long non-coding RNA from Passer domesticus (house sparrow), 549 nucleotides. RefSeq lists it as uncharacterized. The transcript has 3 exons. The record is from RefSeq and is a predicted model, not a curated record. NCBI's taxonomy places the organism in Eukaryota, Metazoa, Chordata, Aves, Passeriformes, Passeridae.
CAACCCUUGGCCGUUGUGUUUGCAUGCUCUGCACCUUGCUCCUGCCCACUCUGCUUGUCACCUUUCCUCAGUCCUGAAUUAGUGCCUGGAUUUCAUCAUCCAGCCUUGCAGGAUGCUCCCAUUUGUUCUGGGGAAGGCUGUCCCAGAUGGAGAAGAGGAGAUGGAGGUGGAUAUAGAUAUUGAUAGAGAGGAGGACAUGGAGACGGAGGGAGCAGACACUGGAGAAGAGGAGAUGGAGGUGGAGGUGGUUGUGGAAGAGGAGAUGGAAUUGGAUAUGGAAGAGUCCAUUGAGGACAUGGACAUUGAUUAAAAAGGUGCGAUGGACAGCACAGACAGAGACGCCAACCUUUGUAUAUAUGUUCUACAGUUUGUUGUUGUUCUUUAGAAUGUAGAUUUUAGGGCUAUUUUUGACUUCUGUAAAUACAUUUCACAUAUUUUUGUUAGGUAGGUUUUUAUGUAUAUAUGUUCUAUCGAUUGUUGUUGUUACAAAUGUUCUUACAAUGUAAAUAUGUUCAGUAUUUUUCCUGCUGUUCUUCUGUAAUAAACAAA